This 78-nucleotide transfer RNA is filed under the name Methanomassiliicoccales archaeon. Its description in RNAcentral is "tRNA-Arg". It matches the Rfam family "tRNA". From Rfam's summary of the family: Transfer RNA (tRNA) molecules are approximately 80 nucleotides in length. Their secondary structure includes four short double-helical elements and three loops (D, anti-codon, and T loops). Further hydrogen bonds mediate the characteristic L-shaped molecular structure. tRNAs have two regions of fundamental functional importance: the anti-codon, which is responsible for specific mRNA codon recognition, and the 3' end, to which the tRNAs corresponding amino acid is attached (by aminoacyl-tRNA synthetases). tRNAs cope with the degeneracy of the genetic code in two manners: having more than one tRNA (with a specific anti-codon) for a particular amino acid; and 'wobble' base-pairing, i.e. permitting non-standard base-pairing at the 3rd anti-codon position. Lineage: Archaea; Methanobacteriati; Thermoplasmatota; Thermoplasmata; Methanomassiliicoccales. The record is from RNAcentral.
GGGCUCGUGGCUUAGCCUGGACAUAGCGCUGGCCUUCUAAGCCAGAUGUCUCGGGUUCGAAUCCCGACGGGCCCGCCA